UUGUGGAUUUUGACUUUCAAG
RNAcentral lists this non-coding RNA (21 nucleotides) under Caenorhabditis elegans. Lineage: Eukaryota; Metazoa; Nematoda; Chromadorea; Rhabditida; Rhabditidae. The record is from RNAcentral.